UAUGAUAAAACCCCAAAAUGGAUAUUCUGCUUUCAAUGUUGCUAAAUUAAUAGGAAGAUUUCAAAGGUAUAUGUCAGAUUGUGAAGAAAAAGUGGAAAAAAAGAAGCAUGUGUAUCGGAGAUACUGAACAGAGAAUAGAGUGGGUGGAGUAAGCCUGCUUUCUUCAAAAGAAGCAAUUUUACAUGGUGUGUAAAACCGACCUUGGACAAGAAAUGGAACACAAAGAUAAAUCAUUUGUGGUGAAUUUAAACAUGAAUCCGUGGAGCUCCUCCUUUUCUGAAAUCCUCCAUUUCUUUUAAAACAUUCUGGUAAUAAAUUGCUGUGAGUUUUUGCCAUAUCCUAUGUCCUUA
This 350-nucleotide long non-coding RNA is filed under the name Homo sapiens (human). Its description in RNAcentral is "HSALNT0063917". The record is from RNAcentral. Lineage: Eukaryota; Metazoa; Chordata; Mammalia; Primates; Hominidae.